AUUAACAGAAGAGCUCGAAGUUACAAGGGUCAUAGUCUGUGGUGAAGUUGGAUUCCCAUGCUUGAGGAUAUUUAUUUUUGAUAGUCAGUGUGCUGUGAUGAAUUUGACCUUUGCGGCUGGAGCCAUGCCCUUGGUAGAUGACCUCUUGAUAGUAUUUAACGCAGAAGAAACUGGGUCUCCCGGUACCAGCGGUGAUUUUGAUCUCGGAAUAGAAAAUCUCCUCAGCCUCGUUAAAAUCAGAUGUGUAGUAUGGGGAGACGAGGACGACAGAGUUGAGGCUGCAGAAGCUGCCAUUCGGGAAGCAGCCAACGCACAUCCCAACCGCCCUACUCUACGCUUGGACUGAUAAUGCGUUGCCGGAAUCAAGGGUGCAACGCCAAAGGUUCAUCAUCACUGCAUUUCUAAGAUCGAAACAUUCAUCAUUCUCUGCGAGGAUGGAUCUGCCUCCCUGCACCCUGCUGGGCCGAGCAGAAGAUGUCGUCGAUGUUGUCGUGUCGUGGGAGAACGACACCAAGCACAAGGCGGCCCUUGACGUGAAGCUCAGAACACAAGAGGUCUGGACUCCGAGUCUCGACCUUGCCUAGUUGCCUUCCUGGCGGACCCUUUAGUUGCAAAGUUCAGAUUCAGAGUAUGACGUCAGGAUAUGCUCAUGCUCACCUCUUGCGUGACAGAAUCAUGGUAAAAUAUUGGAAGCUGUACACAUAAUAAACAUGAAAACAAGCACAUGUAACUUGUUAUA
Long non-coding RNA from Triticum dicoccoides, 739 nucleotides. RefSeq lists it as uncharacterized. The record is from RefSeq and is a predicted model, not a curated record. NCBI's taxonomy places the organism in Eukaryota, Viridiplantae, Streptophyta, Magnoliopsida, Poales, Poaceae. The transcript is spliced from 3 exons.